GCAAGUCGAACGGUAACAGGAAGCAGCUUGCUGCUUCGCUGACGAGUGGCGGACGGGUGAGUAAUGUCUGGGAAACUGCCUGAUGGAGGGGGAUAACUACUGGAAACGGUGGCUAAUACCGCAUAACGUCGCAAGACCAAAGAGGGGGACCUUCGGGCCUCUUGCCAUCAGAUGUGCCCAGAUGGGAUUAGCUUGUUGGUGAGGUAACGGCUCACCAAGGCGACGAUCCCUAGCUGGUCUGAGAGGAUGACCAGCCACACUGGAACUGAGACACGGUCCAGACUCCUACGGGAGGCAGCAGUGGGGAAUAUUGCACAAUGGGCGCAAGCCUGAUGCAGCCAUGCCGCGUGUAUGAAGAAGGCCUUCGGGUUGUAAAGUACUUUCAGCGGGGAGGAAGGUGUUGUGGUUAAUAACCGCAGCAAUUGACGUUACCCGCAGAAGAAGCACCGGCUAACUCCGUGCCAGCAGCCGCGGUAAUACGGAGGGUGCAAGCGUUAAUCGGAAUUACUGGGCGUAAAGCGCACGCAGGCGGUCUGUCAAGUCGGAUGUGAAAUCCCCGGGCUCAACCUGGGAACUGCAUUCGAAACUGGCAGGCUUGAGUCUUGUAGAGGGGGGUAGAAUUCCAGGUGUAGCGGUGAAAUGCGUAGAGAUCUGGAGGAAUACCGGUGGCGAAGGCGGCCCCCUGGACAAAGACUGACGCUCAGGUGCGAAAGCGUGGGGAGCAAACAGGAUUAGAUACCCUGGUAGUCCACGCCGUAAACGAUGUCUACUUGGAGGUUGUGCCCUUGAGGCGUGGCUUCCGGAGCUAACGCGUUAAGUAGACCGCCUGGGGAGUACGGCCGCAAGGUUAAAACUCAAAUGAAUUGACGGGGGCCCGCACAAGCGGUGGAGCAUGUGGUUUAAUUCGAUGCAACGCGAAGAACCUUACCUGGUCUUGACAUCCACAGAAGAAUCCAGAGAUGGAUUUGUGCCUUCGGGAACUGUGAGACAGGUGCUGCAUGGCUGUCGUCAGCUCGUGUUGUGAAAUGUUGGGUUAAGUCCCGCAACGAGCGCAACCCUUAUCCUUUGUUGCCAGCGGUUAGGCCGGGAACUCAAAGGAGACUGCCAGUGAUAAACUGGAGGAAGGUGGGGAUGACGUCAAGUCAUCAUGGCCCUUACGACCAGGGCUACACACGUGCUACAAUGGCGCAUACAAAGAGAAGCGACCUCGCGAGAGCAAGCGGACCUCAUAAAGUGCGUCGUAGUCCGGAUUGGAGUCUGCAACUCGACUCCAUGAAGUCGGAAUCGCUAGUAAUCGUGGAUCAGAAUGCCACGGUGAAUACGUUCCCGGGCCUUGUACACACCGCCCGUCACACCAUGGGAGUGGGUUGCAAAAGAAGUAGGUAGCUUAACCUUCGGGAGGGCGCUUACCACUUUGUGAUUCAUGACUGGGGUGAAGUCGUAACAAGGUAACCGUAGGGGAACCUGCGGUUGGAUCACCUCCUUACCUUAAAGAA
RNAcentral lists this ribosomal RNA (1496 nucleotides) under Salmonella enterica subsp. enterica serovar Enteritidis. RNAcentral describes it as "bacterial SSU rRNA". It matches the Rfam family "Bacterial small subunit ribosomal RNA". Lineage: Bacteria; Pseudomonadati; Pseudomonadota; Gammaproteobacteria; Enterobacterales; Enterobacteriaceae. The record is from RNAcentral.